UACGUAGGGGGCUAGCGUUGUCCGGAAUCAUUGGGCGUAAAGAGCGUGUAGGCGGCCAGGUAGGUCUGGUGUGAAAACUCGAGGCUUAACCUCGAGAUGUCAUCGGAAACCAUCUGGCUAGAGUCCGGAAGAGGAGAGUGGAAUUCCUGGUGUAGCGGUGAAAUGCGCAGAUAUCAGGAAGAACACCAAUGGCGAAAGCAGCUCUCUGGGACGGUACUGACGCUGAGACGCGAAAGCGUGGGGAGCGAACAGG
This 253-nucleotide ribosomal RNA is filed under the name uncultured bacterium. Its description in RNAcentral is "partial 16S ribosomal RNA". It matches the Rfam family "Bacterial small subunit ribosomal RNA", at positions 524 to 776 of the family's 1533-position model. The record is from RNAcentral.